This 310-nucleotide long non-coding RNA is filed under the name Androctonus crassicauda. The record is from RNAcentral. Lineage: Eukaryota; Metazoa; Arthropoda; Arachnida; Scorpiones; Buthidae.
GUGUCAACUGGAACCGGGCAGAGAUUUUGAAGCCUAUUGUGGCUCCGACUCGGCCGUGUGUGCGGGAGGCCGUGCGAAUGGACGUCGGUGCGCGCAGCCGGGACAUUGUUGGUGGUAGAGCGGCCAUCGAGUUGCCGGCAGCAUGGAGGUGCUUGGUGGACGGCGCCCAAAGAUCGUGGACCCGUGCACCGGCUGAUUUGGCAGCCCUUGGGCCUCCACCUUUACUGGGACACUCCUGCACCGGUCCUGUGUCCUUCCAUUUUUGCCCGUGGAGCUACUUUUUUCCAUCCACAUGACCCCUAGUUAAGCG